GUAACACCCUCGAUGCGACUAUAUCUCCCACGUGUCGAGGCACGACUUAGAGGCAUAAUCGCAUUGAAGGCAUAUGUCGCAAGUCAGGCAAUCAUCACAAACAUCCCAUGUAAUAUAGAUAAAUAAAAGGGAUAACAUAGUUGGCUUACACUCGCCACGUCAAUCAAGUACAUAAAUAACAUACAUCAUCCAAACACUCAUGGCCCGACUACGGCGCCAAAAUGAAAGAUAACCCAACAAGCGACAUGGUUCCGAUCACCCCCAACUGGGCACCACUACUGAUCAUCAGGAAAAGAAACAUAGUAACACUGAGAGUCCUCGUCGAACUCCCACUUGAGCUCGUACGCGUCACCUGGAGCGGAAUCACCUGGACCUGCAUCUGGUGUAAUAGUAAUCUGUGAGCCAUAGGGACUCAGCAAUCUCGCACCCUCGCGAUCAAGACUAUUUAAGCUUAAUAGCUAGGGUAAGGUAAAUGUAUGUGGAGCUGCAGCAAGCGACUAGCAUAUAUGGUGGCUACCUUAUACGCAAACGAGAGCGAGAAGAGGAGGCAAAGCGUGAGCGAGAAACUAGAGAGCAACCUACGCAAACAUUACUCCAACACCGUGUCCACUUCCCGGACUCCGCCGAGAAGAGGCCAUCACGGUAACACACACGGUUGAUUCAUUUUAAUUAAGUUAAGGUUCAAGUUAUCUACAACCGGACAUUAACAAAUUCCCAUCUGCCCAUAACCGCAGGCACGGCUUUCGAAAAGUUCAAAUCCCUGCAGGGGAGUCCCAACUUAGCCCAUGACAAGCUCUCACGGUCAACGAAGGAAUAGACCUCCACCCGAGACAUUCCGAUCAGACUUGGUAUCCCGGUACAAUAAGACAUUUCGACAGGUUAAAACAAGACCAGCAACACCGCCCGAAUGUGCCGACAAAUCCCGAUAGGAGCUACACAUAUCUCGUUCUCAGGGCACACUCAGACUGUCCAAACUUCCGGUAGGCCAGCCCAGAGUUGCCCCUGGUAGCCACCGGUGGCUGACGAGGUGGACCAACGCUCAGAGGAGCACUGGCCCGAGGGGGUUUAAAUAAGAUGACCCUUGGGCUCCGGAAACCCAAGGGAAAAAAAGGCUAGGUGGCAAAUGGUAAAACUAAGGUUGGGCAUUGCUGGAAAAGCUUUAAUCAAGGCGAACUAUCAAGGGGUUCCCAUUAUAACCCAACCGCGUAAGGAACACAAAAUCCGGGAACAUAACACCGAUAUGACGGAAACUAGGGCGGCAAGAGUGGAACAAAACACUAGGCGAGAGGCCGAGCCUUCCACCCUUUACCAAGUAUAUAUAUGCAUUAAGAUAACAUGGCAAUAUAAUGAUAUCCCAACAAGUAAAUAAAUGUUCCAAUAAGGAACGGUCUCCAAUCUUCACCUGCAACUACCAACGCUAUAAGAGGGGCUGAGCAAAGCGGUAACAUAGCCAAUCAACGGUUUGCUAGGACAUGGUGGGUUAGAGGUUUGACAUGGCAAUUUGGGAGGCUGACAAGCAAAAGGUAGGCAUCAUAGCAUUGGCAUAGCAAAAGAGCGAGCAAACUAGCAUAGCAAAGAUAGUAGUGAUAUCGAGGGUAUGAUCAUCUUGCCUGCACAGUUGUCAGAGUUGACUGGAUCCUCAAAAGCAAAAUCAACGGGCUCCUCGUUAGCGAACUCGUCUCCCGGCUCUACCCAAACAAGACAAACAAGCAACAAGGACACAAUCAACCACGUGCAAGGAUCAAUCAAUAAGAUGCAAUGAUGAUAUGCUAUGCGGGAUGCGAUGCGGGAUGCAAAAUGCAAGAUAUGACAGGACAUGCAUGAACCUGGCAUCAACUUGGAAAUCCAAGCAUGCCACUGGAAAGAUGAGAUGAAAUCGCUUGAAAACGAUAUAAAGAACGCCGGAAUCGGAGUUACGGUUUGGAAAUGGCAAGUGAUUCAAAAUUGGCACCGGUCUGCGAUUUACAGCAAGUAGGCAUCUAAAUGCAAUGCGAUGAACAUGCUACAACACUCAAACAUGGCAACAAAAUACAUGGCAGGGAAGCAUUCAAGAUGCUUAACAAAAGUCUAGCUCUGAGCUACGGCCAAUUCAUCCAUUAGGAGGUUCAAACAAGCAUGGCAAAAACGCAAAUGGUAAACAGAUCUCAGACUUAGUGAAAUCAGCACUUGUCUGGAAUUUCAGAUCAUAUAGCCCUCUUCGGAGCACCAAAACAACAUGCUACAGGACCUGAUCAUGGCAAAGAAUGACAUGGCAUGGAGCUACUCAACAAGCUUAACAAAAGUCCCUUAGUGACCUUGAGCCAAAAGGGAUCACAAAAUAUACUAACAAGCACACGAACAUAGCAAAACAUAAUCAGUUUUCAGACUUGGUGAAAACUGGGACAUGCUGAAAUAUAACUCACGAAGGCAUGUUUACGAGCUCGAUGCACUCACUACGGUGCAAGUCAUGGCAAGACAAGCAUGCAUCCAUUAACAAGGCACAAAAUGCAAGCUAGACAUGGCAAGAACAAUGGCAUAACAUGCACGGAUCAACUACAAUAACAUCGGCAAAAUUGCAAACAAGUUGACAAUCUGCCCAGAUUCACAACGAAGCAAAAGUAGAGCUCGAUUGACUCAAGCUUGGGUGCUCCAUAAAUGCAAACAAAGACAUGGAUGGGUAGAGCACUACAAUAUUAACAAAACUCCUUUACUGAUCAUCCUCAAAAGAGGCAUGGAUCACUAGGAAACAACACGAACAUAAGGCACCAUGAACUAAACAAUCCCAGGACUUGGUGAAAAUACUAAGUCCCUGAAAACAGAUUUACCGAGUGCCUCACUUUGCAAGCUUGCACUAGUCACCACACACAUCAAAAAAAAUAAAUGGGUUGCACCUCUAGAAAGAUGACAAAACCCUUAACAAAACAUAUCUAGAUCCUCAGGUCAUAACAUGCACACAAUAAUCAUUGUAAAAAUGACAAAUGCCUAAGAUGGAGUAGCAAAUCUGACAAUUAACUCAAGUAGCCCUCUUCUAACAGCAUUUCGGGCAUCAAGAUGAUCUCAAAUGAAAAUGAUGCAAUGGGAUGAAAUGAUGUACUCUCCGAGGCGAACAUUUUGAUAUGCUAUAUGCAUGAAUCGGAGCUACGGAUGCGGAGUUAUAGCAGGUCAAAGAUCGCAAAAUAAUUAGGGUUCGGAGGAAAAAGUCAACCCGAUUUGAAUCUAGAUCUGAGAUCUGCACGGGAACCGAGGAUGGCCGGGGAGCUCGCCGGAGUUCGUCGCCGGACUUGGCGAGGCACGCCGGCCGGAGGAGAGGAGGACGCCGGGGCGGCGUGGUGCGGUGGCAGCGGAGGGUCUCGGCGGCGCGGGGCGACGGGGAGGGCCGGAGNNNNNNNNNNNNNNNNNNNNNNNNNNNNNNNNNNNNNNNNNNNNNNNNNNNNNNNNNNNNNNNNNNNNNNNNNNNNNNNNNNNNNNNNNNNNNNNNNNNNNNNNNNNNNNNNNNNNNNNNNNNNNNNNNNNNNNNNNNNNNNNNNNNNNNNNNNNNNNNNNNNNNNNNNNNNNNNNNNNNNNNNNNNNNNNNNNNNNNNNNNNNNNNNNNNNNNNNNNNNNNNNNNNNNNNNNNNNNNNNNNNNNNNNNNNNNNNNNNNNNNNNNNNNNNNNNNNNNNNNNNNNNNNNNNNNNNNNNNNNNNNNNNNNNNNNNNNNNNNNNNNNNNNNNNNNGGGCCCGACCUUGGCCUCCCGGGCCGGCGGCGGCGACGAACUGGGGCAGCGGCGGACCAGUGGGGAGGCGACACGUGGCGGCGGCGGGGGCAGGCCGGACGUGUCCGUCGGCGGAUAUUUGUCCGGCGCGGCGCGGAUCUGAGAUUUAGGGUUUCGGGGAGAGGGGAUCCAGGAUAUUUCGAGGGGGACCUAUUUAUAGGCAUAGAGGGAGCUAGGAGAGUCCAAAUGAGGUGCGGUUUUCGGCCACGCGAUCGUGAUCGAAUGCUCUAGAUGAUGGAUCAGAGUUUGGUGGGUUUUGGGCCAAAUUGGAGGGUUGUUGGGCUGCAACACACACGAGGCCUUUUCGGUCCCUCGGUUAACCGUUGGAGUAUCAAACGAAGUCCAAAUGAUACGAAACUUGACAGGCGGUCUACCGGUAGUAAACCACGGCCGCUUGGAAAGUCUCGGUCCAAUCCGGAAAUGUUUAAUCCCCACACACAAAAGAAAGCUAGAAUUGGCCACCGGAGGAGAACGAAGCGCCGGAAUACAAAACGGACAACGGGGAAAAUGCUCGAAUGCAUGAGAUGAACACGUAUACAAAUGCAAUGCACAUGAAGACAUGAUAUGAGAUGCAUGACAACGAUAACAACGUACGGAGACAAAGACCUGAACCCAAGGAAAUAAAUAUAACUUAACGCCGGAAACGGCAAGAGUUGGAGUACAAAUUGGGAAAGUUAUAUCCGAGGCGUUACAACACUCCACCACUACGAAAAGAUCUCGUCCCGAGAUCUAGGACUAAAAGAACGCCGGGUACUCAGAACGGAGGUGAUCCUCGCGUUCCCAGGUAGCUUCACGGUCGGAAUGGUGUGACCACUUGACUUUGAGGAACUUGAUCGACUUGUUGCGAGUCUUGCAUUCAGUCUCUUCAAGGAUAGCAACGGGGUGCUCACGAUAGGAGAGAUCUUCUUGGAGCUCAAUGUCCUCGAAGUUGACGGUGCGGUCAGGCGUCUUGAAGCACUUACGAAGCUGAGAGACAUGAAACACAUCAUGAACAUUUGCAAAGUUUGAAGGAAGCUCGAGUUGAUAGGCGAGGACGCCUCUCUUGCUGGCAAUCUUGAAAGGUCCCACGUAUCUAGGGGCAAGCUUCCCUUUGAUACCGAAGCGACGAGUACCUUUCAUAGGAGAGACGCGGAGGUAAACAUGAUCUCCGAUCUUGAAAGCCAAAUCAUGGUGCUUACUGUCAUAGUAACUCUUCUGGUGGGAUUGGGCUGCUUUGAGGUUAUCACGAAUGACUUUGCACAUUUCUUCUGCCUCUGUGAUUAAGUCAUUUCCCAAAAGCUGACGUUCACCGGUUUCAGACCAAUUGAGAGGGGUACGACACUUCCUGCCAUACAGAAUUUCAAAAGGGGCCUUGCCCGAACUUGCUUGAAAACUGUUGUUGUAGGAGAAUUCAGCAUAAGGAAGACAAUCCUCCCACUUCAUGCUGAAGGAGAUCACACAAGCCUUGAGCAUAUCUUCAAGAAUCUGGUUGACACGCUCGACUUGACCGCUUGUUUGAGGAUGGAAAGCAGUGCUGAAACGGAUCUUGGUACCCAUGGCCUUCUGAAAAGAGUCCCAAAACUUGGAGGUAAAGAUGCUGCCACGGUCUGAAGAUAUCACUUGAGGGAUACCGUGCAGAGAGACAAUACGAGAGGUAUAGAGUUCCGCUAAUUGAGCUGCAGUGAUCGACUCUUUGAUAGGCAGAAAGUGAGCCACUUUGGUGAGUUUGUCGAUGACAACGAAUAUAGCAUCAUUGCCAUGCUUGGACUUUGGAAACCCAGUCACGAAGUCCAUUUCAAUGUGGUCAAACUUCCAUUCUGGAAUGGCAAGAGAUUGGAGGAGACCAGCUGGCCUUUGGUGUUCUGCCUUCACUCUUCUAUAGACAUCACAUACAUUCACGAAUUGAGCGAUCUCGCGCUUCAUUCGAGUCCACCAAUAAGCUUGCUUGAGGUCCUGAUACAUCUUCGUGCUCCCAGGGUGGAUGGAGAGGAGAGAAUUGUGAGCCUCGUUCAUGAUCUCUUUAUGAAGGUCACCUUUGGGUACAACAAUUCGAUCCUCGAAGAAGAGAGUAUCCUUAUCAUCAAGGCGGUAGCACUUGUACUUGGGUUGACUCUUGGCAAUCCCAAUCUUCACCUUUUUCACCAUAGCAUCAAGAAGCUGGGCUUGGCGAAUCUGGUCUUCCAAGGUAGGAGAGACUUGAAGGUUAGCGAGAAAACCUUGAGGAACAACUUGCAGGUUCAGUUUGCCGAAAGCUUCACAAAGCUCGGGUUGGUAAGGCUUAAGAAUCAGACCGUUGCAAUAAGCUUUCCUGCUCAAUGCGUCAGCAAUCACAUUGGCCUUGCCUGGAGUAUACUCAAUACUCGGAUUAUACUCUUGAAUCAUUUCGACCCAUCGAGUUUGCCUGAGGUUGAGAUUAGGCUGAGUGAAGAUGUACUUGAGACUCUUGUGAUCAGUGAAAAUGUCCACUUUUCUUCCCAAUAGAAGAUGUCUCCAAGUCAAAAGAGCAUGCACAACUGCCGCCAACUCGAGAUCAUGAGUGGGGUAGUUCUUCUCAUUAGGCUUCAACUGGCGAGAGGUAUAAGCAACAACUUUAUUCUCUUGCAUCAAUACUACGCCAAGACCUUGGAGAGAGGCAUCACAAAAGACCUCGUACAGCUUGGAUUCAUCAGGCGGAGUCAGAAUUGGAGCAGUGAUCAAUUUCUCUUUCAAAGUGUUGAAAGCAAUAUCACACUCUGGAGACCAAACGUACUUGACGUGCUUCUGAAGAAGAUUUGAGAGAGGCUUCGCGAUCUUAGAAAAGUUUUCAACGAAUCUUCGGCAAUAGCUUGCGAGACCGAGGAAACUGUGGAGUUGCUUCACGUUCCGAGGAGGUUCCCAAUUCACAAUUGCAGACACCUUCUCAGGAUUUACGGCAAUGCCCUUGGCAGAGAUGAUAUGACCAAGAUAAAGAACCUCAUCGAGCCAAAAUUCGCACUUGGAGAACUUGGCGUAGAACUGGUGUUCCCUCAGCUUAUCAAGAACCAAACGCAAGUGCUUGGCAUGAUCUUCCUUGUUCUUGGAGAAAACCAGAAUGUCAUCGAGAUAGACCAAAACGAAGUCAUUGGUGUAGGCGUUGAAGAUGAAGUUCAUCAUGCGAGAGAACGUCGGAGGAGCAUUGACGAGGCCAAAAGACAUGACAGUGUAUUCAUAUGAACCAAAGCUGGUUCUGAAAGCUGUCUUGGGAAUAUCUUGCUCACGGAUUCGAAUCUGAUGAUAACCCAUACGGAGAUCAAGCUUGGAGAAUACUUGGGCACCUUUGAGUUGUUCGAACAGCUCAUUGAUGUUGGGAAGUGGGUAUUUGUUCUUGAUGAUCUUCUUGUUCAAUGGACGGUAAUAAACUUAGAGUCGGUCCGAUCCAUCCUUCUUCUUCACAAAAAGAACACCACAACCCCACGAAGAAGAACUAGGCCGGAUGAGACGCAUUCUCUCUUGCUCAUCGAGUUGUUUCUUCAGCUCCUUCAACUCUUCAGGUCCGAGCUUGUAAGGACGUUUGCACACAGGUUCCGUACCGGGCUCAAGAUCAAUAACGAAUUCAACUGGCCGGUGCGGAGGCAUUCCUGGAAGCUCUUCUGGAAAGACGUCUUGAUAUUCACAAACGACUAGAAUUUGCGAGAUGGCAUCGAGUUCACCCUUCUCGUUGAGAGAAAACAGAAGGAUGGUAUUAUCCCGGGCGGCAAAGACAAUUACAUCCUCAGAUGAAUGAGUCAAUUGAAUCUGCCUGGCUGCGCAAUCAAGCUGAGCCUUGUGCUUAGAAAGCCAAUCCAUUCCGAGAAUAAGAUCAAUAUCUGAGUUACCAAGAACCAUUAGAGAUGCCAGAAACUUGAAAUCACCCAUCAUGAUAGAAAUAUCUGGAAUCUCGUGGUUAGCGAGCAAACAUUUACCAGGAGAGACCACUGCUAACAGACUAUGCAUAACUUGGGAAGUCAACUCAUGCUUAGAUGCAAAAGGCUUCGAGAUGAAACAAUGCGAUGCACCAGUAUCAAAAAGUACUUUUGCGGGAACAUUGUUAACAGGAAGGUUACCCAUGAUCACAUCUGAUGAGUCCUCUGCCUGAGCUGCAUUCAUCAAGUUGACCUUGGCGUGCUUGGGGUUAUGCUUGACCACAGCUGUACUUGCCGAUCGCACAGGAGGAGGAGGAAGACGCCUCUGGUUGAAACACUUGUUGGCAUAGUGACCCUUCUGUUGGCACUUGUUGCACGUGACCUCUAAAAGCGGGCGGUGGUACGAAGCACUCGAUCUUGGAGCUUGAGACGAAGUCUUGUUCUGAAAGCCAGGGUUGGGUGGGUGGGAAGAACCACUGCCACCUUUGCUCUUCUGCUGAUAUGGCUGACGGAAUGGAGGAGGAGGAAGCCAAUACUUCUGCUGCUUGGCCACUUGAGUAGAGGAAGAAGGCGUAGUGUCUCUGACUCGCUCCUUGGAAGCAUCACACCACAACUGAGCAGCCUCUUGCUUCAGUGCCAUGUUGUAGAACUCAUCGUAUCUCAACGGCUCAAAGAGGACAAGAGCGAGCUGAAUUUCUUCUCCGAGACCACCCCUGAACUGGUAUAUCAUGCUCUUCUCAUCAGGUACGUCCUGCUUGGCAAAGCGGGCAAGCUUCUGGAACAACUUGUUGUAGUCAUAGACAGACAAAGAGCCUUGCUUCAAGUUGCGGAAUUCUCACGCUUACUUUCAACCACACUUUGAGAGAUGUGAUGAGCUCGGAAAUCUCGGCGGAAAUCAUCCCAAGUGAUCAGACGUCCACCUCUGGAAUCCUUGUACUGCUGGAACCAUUCUGCAGCUUGAUCUUUGAGUUGGAAGGAAGCGAACUUGAUGAAAUCUUCAGGCCUGACGUUGCUGCACUCAAAAUGCUUACACAGAAUCCACAAGCCAAUCGUCAGCAUCGGAUGCCUCAACACAAUUGCUGAAUGUCUUUGGCCCAUUAGCAAGGAACUGGUUCAGUGUAGCGAAGUGGUUCUGAUUGUUGCCUUAACUCCCUUGACUGCCUUGAUUCGCUUGAUUGCGCUCUUGGAGGAUUUGCAUGAUCAACUGUGUGUUUGCAUUGGUUGCGGCCAUCACAGCUUGCCAUGCCUCCGGAGGAGGUGGAGGUGGUGGCGGAUCUGGAUUCGGAGUCGUGCGCGUUGGAGGAGCCAUCCUGAAGAGGUUGACCACCAUUAGCACAUUGAUAGACAAAAUAUAGAAGCUAAAUCCAACGGACUGAAAAUUGCAACAUAAAGUCUUCACAUCCGAACAAAAUGAACAAAUGCAUUCCUCUUGAAAUGGUCACAUAUCCAUAAAUUGCGAAGCCACGUAGAAUGAAGGUAGAUAAAUAAAUCAACAAGGUAUGGAUCAAGAACGAAUAAUCGGUAAGAAAUCCCAAUCUCAAACCAAUAUCCGUGGAAUAAGAACUAGAGCUACAAGAAUUCCCACCUAUGAAACUCCCGAACCUUUCCAGUUAUGCAAUCAGGUGUUGGGGAUACAGGGGAAGCAUAAUAUCUCACCCAAACUAGCAAUUCCUACAUCCAGUUGUAUCCAUCCUUCAACACAUAACCAAGAAACCUUCGGAAACCAUCUACCUCAACCUUCGAAAAGCAUCCGUUAUACAAGUUAUGGCGAUACUCCCGAACUCCCGCCCCUGUACUGGGUGGCGUCGAGGUUAUCUCACCAACGAACUACAUAAAAGAGAUUUUCAAUGUCGGCGAAAUAUCUCAGGUAUUCCAGAAUUUCAACAAUAAAAUUAUGAUGACAACACCUCAGAGCUCAACUCCCCGGGACACUUCCACUAAACCCCUGACAGGAGGCACCAAGACAAUGUUCUCAUCAUAAAACCAUCGGAACGAUUCCAAGAUACCCGCGUGAUCCUAAUUUUUUUUAGUGAAAUUUGAGAAGAGAAGAGUCAAAACUCUACGUUAGGAUGCCUUACCAGAGCAAUGAGGAAACUGGGAAGUAAAAAGAAUUCCUAAAAUCUCCGAUAUAUAAUUCCUAAUUGACUCAAAACAUUUUUCUAGACACAACUCGGCUGCUAAAAACGAUCAAGCAAUGGGGCUCCUAAGGUUGGGGAAGGCUCUGAUACCAACUUGUAACACCCUUGAUGCGACUAUAUCUCCCACGUGUCGAGGCACGACUUAGAGGCAUAAUCGCAUUGAAGGCAUAUGUCGCAAGUCAGGCAAUCAUCACAAACAUCCCAUGUAAUAUAGAUAAAUAAAAGGGAUAACAUAGUUGGCUUACACUCGCCACAUCAAUCAAGUACAUAAAUAACAUACAUCAUCCAAACACUCAUGGCCCGACUACGGCGCCAAAAUGAAAGAUAACCCAACAAGCGAC
RNAcentral lists this long non-coding RNA (10050 nucleotides) under Triticum aestivum (bread wheat). RNAcentral's name for it is "long non-coding RNA (TAES_LNC026156)". The record is from RNAcentral. Lineage: Eukaryota; Viridiplantae; Streptophyta; Magnoliopsida; Poales; Poaceae.